RNAcentral lists this long non-coding RNA (3487 nucleotides) under Homo sapiens (human). RNAcentral's name for it is "HSALNT0347822". The record is from RNAcentral. Lineage: Eukaryota; Metazoa; Chordata; Mammalia; Primates; Hominidae.
GCAAUCAGCGAGACUCCAUGGGCGUAGGACCCUCUGAGCCAGAGGCUGAGUAGUCUCAAGAUCUGAAGACAGCAGAAACCUGGGAAAGUUAAUGAUAUACGUUGUUAUACUCCAAGUGUGAGUCUGAAGACAAGGGAAGACCAACGUCCAAGCUUGAAGACAGUCAGAUAGAAUCAUUCUGCAGCCUGGCUAAGGAUGAAGAUAACUGAUAAACUAUUAUAUACCACUAUACCAAAAAGGAUUGAAAUUAUCCUGAAAAAGGAUUGCUGCUAUUGUUGCCUUCUCUGCAUCGUGCUGUGUCCCCAAGAAGAAAACAGUUCAUGUGAAGGAAGAGAUUAGUUCCACUCAUGAAAAUCUGAAGAUUUAUAUUGUCUCUGGUUUCAUGUGAUUAUGUCAUGUGUGUCAAGAGCCAACAGUUAAUAAAUAUGUACUGAACACACAUUUCAUGGUAGGCAAAUUGCCACUUAAUAUCAAUGUGGUUUAGGUUCUAACAGUUAUAGUGCUUCCUGCUGUACAAGAGUUGGGUAUCAAAGGAGGAAGAAAUGAAACACUUCUCUGGAAAUAUCCACUUACAUCUACUGUCCUAAUAGGAUUUAAUGGUAUUUGAGGAUAUCCUGAAGAAAAGAAUGUGAACCAUGUUCACCAUUGGAGUGAAGAUGAAUGAAAACAGGUCUGAUUGACUGUGGUAGGUAGCCCCAGUAGGAGUCAGGUGACAUUAAAAUAUAGAAGAUUUUGAUCCUAAAUUUAAGGGAGGAAGAGAGGUCCCAGCUCUAUAUGAUACCGGUAAGAGCGUCCUCUUUUAUCUCUUCCCCAGUAGAAUUGCACUUUCAAGGAUCCUGUUCUAUGAGCACCAUCCCCUGUAUUUUCAAAUAAUUGUCUUCUAAUAUUGUACUCAAAUUAUUAUUUGAUCACAUUAAAUCCCACAAUUAAUUGAUUUAUCUUACCACUUGCUCCUUUUCUCACCUGGAUCUAUUGUUUGACUUUAUAAUCACUGACAUGCAUACAACUCCAUAGCUUUCCAUGUACCUAGGAAAAUAAGCAAAGUUUCUAAAAUCCAAGUUUCUACCCACUUAACACCUGUUCAAAGAGAACUGAUCUUUGUUAAAGAAAGGUAAAUGAGCAUCCUGACAAGUUUCACAGUAAAUCUGACUGCUAACUUCAAGUGGCUAGCAAUUCUACAUAGUACAAUAGUCAUUUACUCUCUUACUCUUCUAGAAAACUAUUUUACACCUUGGCCUCUUUCUCUGAAUAUAUUUUCCCAAUUCUUUACUCUCUGCAGAAGACUUAUUUCAAAAAAGAAAUUUCACAUGCUACCAUAUUCACAUCUACUACUCUCUAGCUGCCAGAUAGCUCUCAUCAUCAUAAAACUUGCUUCAAUAUAUUCCAUCAACAAAAAGGAAAAAACAUUGCCACAACCUCCCCCUUCCAUUCCUCUUUUCCUCAUCAGAUAAAAAACAUUUGAAGCAAUUGUCAGUAUACAUAUUUGUUCUUCCUCUCUUUGAACAUCUUAUAUUUAGCAUUUUCCCCGUCACUCACAAAAAAAACAGCUGUAGUCAAGAUUAUCAAUUAUCUUGGUUUGGGUUCCUCACAAAGUAAAUCAGGAGACAGGACCUGGGUACAGAUAGUUUAUUUGUAGGUAAACAGAAGCACAGUUAUGGAAGUGGAGAAAGUGAAAUUGAAAAGUGGCAAAAGUCACCAGAAGUUGUAUGAACCAGCAAGAUUCUCCACAUGGGACACUGGUACCCACUGGGAACCUUCUGAGAAAUUGUGUGGCACAUACCUUGGAAGUUGUUACCAGUUGAAUACACCCUGAAGCUGAAGCUUCGGGUGAACUAAAGGAUAUGGGGCGGGGCAUCUGCACCACUCAGUCUUAUUUCUUCCAUCUUACUAGCUCAGUUUCCUUUUCUACAUUCUCCUCCUUUGAAUAAUGGGGUGUCCAGGUCCAGUUGUUUUAGGGUCCAGUUGUUUUGGGUAAUCUCAUCUAAUUACAGAUGAGAAUUACAUAUAAUGAAAAUUUUAACUCCAAAUUCACAUAUCUAAUAUCCACUUGACAUGGCAUCCCCACUUUGACUUUAGUAGCUCUUCUGCACAAACCAUGUAAAAUAUAUUUCACAGCAUUCCCCUCCAACUUGAUUCCUCUAACCUUCCCCAACUCAAUAAAUAGAUGCUCCAUUUUCCCAGUGUCCAGGCCUGUUAUGUUCCUUCCUUUAGCAUGUGUAUGGCUCAUUCCCUUACUUCAUUCAGGACUCUCUUUAAAUUACCAGAAACAAAAAUCCUUCUGCAAUGAAACUAUGUAAAAUACCAUUCUAACCACCCUUAACUGUGCCAUGUUUUUCUUUAUACUCAUCACCACCUGAGAUAUACAUUUGACUUGCUUAUUAUUUGCCCAGUGCUAGAAUGUACAUUCCUUAUGGGGACAAUGUUUUAUUCACUGCUGUGUCACCAGCAGCUAGUUCAUGGUCUGGCACUUGUUAAAGACUCAACAAAUAUUUGUUGAAUACAUGAAAAAGGGUCUCUGAAAAAAAGCUAAAACAAACAAACAUUUUUAAAAAAUUGGAGUUUGAUCUGCUGGAGGGGAAUUACCAAUAGGUUUGGAGAAUGGAAAAUUGUGAUGAUGCCAGGAACAGUAUGGCAAUUGACAAAAGACCCAAUUCUAACACAGGUACUUAUGCACCACAUAUGUGCCAUGGGAGAAAGGACUUGGUGACUUUAAGAACUGGCAACACUUUGACACUUAAGUGACACUUUGGUGAAUGUAGAGACUACAUUCAUUUUUAUCUUUCUAUCUCCUCACUGCUUAUGUUCAAUUUCAGAAACAGACCAUUGUGAAUAUCUGCAAUUGAAAUGGUCGAAGCACGUUCUCCACCUUUUUAGUUCCUCACAUUGUGAAUCCUGUUUUUCCAAGGGGAAUAAAAAUUCGUCAAAAUAACUGGGGAAAAAUCUACGUUUCUCAACCUUCUUUGAUACUAGGAUACUGAUAUAAGAACUUAACAUCUCUCAGUCAGACACACUCAUGCAAACCUUUUAUUUAUAAGUUAGCUACAUGAGGGGAAAUUCUAAAUGUAGGGCAUCCAUUUUGCUGGUGAAAGAGUUGGUGAGGAAGAGUUUCUAAUGAAAUCCUGGUCAUACAGAAGUAGCGUAGUUUAGAGGUUGUCAAUGGCAGCUGUCUCUUUGCUAGAUCUGUGGUGCGAUUUGGGGAGUUUAUUUUGGCAGCUCAGCCUACUGUCUGUUCCUUUAACUCUUCCAGUAACUUUGUAAACACUUUAUUAUAUUUUAAUCAAUACAUUCGUGAUCAAACCAGCUAGAAUAGUCUGUUAUCUACAAGUAAGAAUGCUAAGUAAUGCACAGUACACAUACAACAGCCAAGAGUAACACAGAAGGAGCAUUCUGACUUACUGUGGAAGAGCAGUAAUAAGAGCUAGAGGCCAUUAUCCUUAGCAAACUAACACAGUAACAGAAAACCCAAUACUGCGUGUUCUCACUUAUA